CAGUAGCCGCGGGAAUACGUAGGGUGCGAGCGUUAAUCGGAAUUACUAGGCGUAAAGCGUGCGCAGGCGGUUAUAUAAGACAGAUGUGAAAUCCCCGGGCUCAACCUGGGACCUGCAUUUGUGACUGUAUAGCAAGAGUACGGUAGAGGGGGAUGGAAUUCCGCGUGUAGCAGUGAAAUGCGUAGAUAUGUGGAGGAAUACCGAUGGCGAAGGCAGCCCCCUGGGAUAACACUGACGCUGAAGCACGAAAGCGUGGGGAGCAAACAGGAUUAGAUACCCCGGUAGUCCCUGUCUCUUAUAA
Molecule: ribosomal RNA, 301 nt
Filed under: uncultured bacterium
Lineage: Bacteria
Description: partial 16S ribosomal RNA
Rfam family: Bacterial small subunit ribosomal RNA
Source: RNAcentral